This 498-nucleotide ribosomal RNA is filed under the name Triticum aestivum (bread wheat). RNAcentral's name for it is "partial small subunit ribosomal RNA". Lineage: Eukaryota; Viridiplantae; Streptophyta; Magnoliopsida; Poales; Poaceae. The record is from RNAcentral.
AUGCUUCUCAGCCUCACCGCCCACCACCAUGACGCACCUCCACCUCAACGUCCUCUCUGCCCCUUGCCCGUCUCCUCAACCGCCGAGCUCGGCAAGCACGCCGUCGAUGUCGUCCGUCUACGGACGCCUCUCCUGCGUCCUCGUCUAACACCGCAGUUCGAGCACUCCCAUCACCGCCACCUCCCCGUGCUCCUCGUCAUCCCCUCCACUCCUCCCCAUCUCCUUUGUUACCAGCCACCAAAGUACGCCGCCGGCGCCGUCAGUGCCACAACGCCUCUCCUACCUCCACCCUUUAUUGAUCCAGCAGCCAUACUUCCCACUCCCACCACCUCCACUUCCUCAUCGCCGUCUCCUCCGACACUGACAUCUGCAGCUAUUUCUGAAUUUCAGGGUUGUGGCAGCAAGGGCGAGGUGCAUGAUAGUGACACAAAGAUGGGCGAGCACGGGGAAUGUAGGAACAUGCAAGGUGUUGUGCCGCAGUUACUGCUGCAAGGAUGA